AAGAAGAAGAAGAAGCACAACAAAACUGCCAAUGGUACAAUAAGCGAACCAGUUGAGGUCUUGAUGAUCCCGUCCUCGAGCUGCGACUCUCAAGAAUCACAAGAUGAGACUGGUAAAGAAAAUGCAAAGAGAGUCGAGCCCAAGAAUCAAAGCAGCAAAAGCCCCAAACCCAAGAAAAGCAACAAGAGAAAAGAAAAAGCAGAAGCUGAUUAUGAGGAUGGAGAAGACGGGACGAUGUGUAGGUUCCCAAUGGCCAGGAUAAAGAGGAUAAUAAAGAGCGAAGACUCUGGUUUGCAACUCACUCAGGAUGUCGUCUUUCUCGUCAAUAAAGCCACGGAGAAGUUCAUUGAACAAUUUUGCGAGGAAGCAUAUGGAUGUUCAGUUCGAGAUCGAAAGAACUAUCUUGCAUACAAGCACCUGUCAUCAGCUGUUAGUAAGCAGAGAAGAUUUGAUUUUCUUUCAGAUUUUGUUCCUGAGAAACUAAAAGCUGAGGAUGCCUUGGCACAGAGAAAAUUGGUGGAGAAUAGGCAAGGAUAGGACCUUGGUAACACGCUAAGAUUAUAAUCCUUGCUCUUACUCAUUUUCCUUGGUAAAUCAUGCUUAUCUCAUAGGACUUCCAUUUGUUUUCAAUUGGUUGUAUAUUAUAGAGGGGAAAGGCAUCAGUUUCUGACAACUCAGAUUGGUUAUUCUCUUUCAUUUCCUAGUCCUUGCCUCUUGUUUUCAAUUGGCAUUGUAUUUUGUUGAUGAAAACAAUUCCUUGCUACCAAGUUAGGUUGGACAGUCAUUCUUAUUUUCUAGGCCUUUCCUUUUGCUUUCAAUUGGCUGUGUAUUUAGCAGGUAAUGGUAUUGAUUCCUAGUGAUUCAAUGGGAUCCAUGUGUAUGCACAUCUUGCUCUUCAGGCUACAAAAGAAGAAGGGUUGAUGCAGCAUAAACCAUUGUUGUCUGUGAAUUGAAUUCUUUUCAUGUUUGGUUGGUGAAAAAUUGUGUAAUUCUCUUUUACAAUAUUUGCUGAAGCAUGCACCCAAGUCUUGCGAUGAAAAAAAAAGAGAAUUACACAAUUUUUCACCAAC
Molecule: unclassified non-coding RNA, 1070 nt
Filed under: Hevea brasiliensis (rubber tree)
Lineage: Eukaryota; Viridiplantae; Streptophyta; Magnoliopsida; Malpighiales; Euphorbiaceae
Source: RNAcentral